AGUAAAUAGAUACCCGGGUAGUCCACGCCGUAAACGAUGUCGACUUGGAGGUUGUGCCCUUGAGGCGUGGCUUCCGGAGCUAAACGCGUUAAAGUCGACCGCCUGGGGAGUACGGCCGCAAGGUUAAAACUCAAAUGAAUUGACGGGGGCCCGCACAAGCGGUGGAGCAUGUGGUUUAAUUCGAUGCAACGCGAAGAACCUUACCUACUCUUGACAUCCAGAGAACUUAGCAGAGAUGCUUUGGUGCCUUCGGGAACUCUGAGACAGGUGCUGCAUGGCUGUCGUCAGCUCGUGUUGUGAAAUGUUGGGUUAAGUCCCGCAACGAGCGCAACCCUUAUCCUUUGUUGCCAGCGGUCCGGCCGGGAACUCAAGGAGACUGCCAGUGAUAAACUGGAGGAAGGUGGGGAUGACGUCAAGUCAUCAUGGCCCUUACGAGUAGGCUACACACGUGCUACAAUGGCGCAUACAAGAGAAGCGACCUCGCGAGAGCAAGCGGACCUCAUAAAGUGCGUCGUAGUCCGG
This 522-nucleotide ribosomal RNA is filed under the name uncultured bacterium. RNAcentral describes it as "bacterial SSU rRNA". It matches the Rfam family "Bacterial small subunit ribosomal RNA", at positions 775 to 1296 of the family's 1533-position model. The record is from RNAcentral.